UAGCGUAGGUGGCAAGCGUUAUCCGGAAUUAUUGGGCGUAAAGCGCGCGCAGGCGGUUUCUUAAGUCUGAUGAUGAAAGCCCACGGCUCAACCGUGGAGGGUCAUUUGGAAACUGGGGAACUUGAGUGCAGAAGAGAAAAAGCGGGAAUUCCACGUGUAGCGGUGAAAUGCGUAGAGAUGUGGAGGAACACCAGUGGCGAAAGGCGGCUUUUUGGU
Molecule: ribosomal RNA, 216 nt
Filed under: uncultured bacterium
Lineage: Bacteria
Description: partial 16S ribosomal RNA
Rfam family: Bacterial small subunit ribosomal RNA
Source: RNAcentral